RNAcentral lists this ribosomal RNA (300 nucleotides) under Mytilus coruscus. RNAcentral describes it as "partial 16S ribosomal RNA". It matches the Rfam family "Bacterial large subunit ribosomal RNA", at positions 1991 to 2536 of the family's 2925-position model. The record is from RNAcentral. Lineage: Eukaryota; Metazoa; Mollusca; Bivalvia; Mytilida; Mytilidae.
UAUGAAAGGGUUAACGAGGAAGGUGCUGUGUCUAAAAACUUAGUUUAAACUAACUUAAAGGUGAAGAGGCCUUUAUAAGAAAGAAGGACGACAAGACCCUAUGAAGCUUUAUCUUAUUAGGGAUUUGAAAGAUCCUUAUACGAUUUUGAUGGGAGAUCAGUAAAAAUAAGUCUUUUACCAUUAUUUUUAUCUUACAAGUGUUUCCUAAUUUUAUAUGUGUGACUAGCUACUCUAGGGAUAACAGCGCAAUUUCUCCCGAAAGAUGGUAUUGGAGGGGAAGAUUGCGACCUCGAUGUUGGC